GGGCGGUUAGCUCAGUUGGUUAGAGUACUUGCUCGACAUGCAAGGAGUCGGAGGUUCGAAUCCUCUAUCGCCCA
RNAcentral lists this transfer RNA (74 nucleotides) under candidate division TA06 bacterium. Its description in RNAcentral is "tRNA-Val". It matches the Rfam family "tRNA". From Rfam's summary of the family: Transfer RNA (tRNA) molecules are approximately 80 nucleotides in length. Their secondary structure includes four short double-helical elements and three loops (D, anti-codon, and T loops). The record is from RNAcentral.